Molecule: ribosomal RNA, 583 nt
Filed under: uncultured bacterium
Lineage: Bacteria
Description: bacterial SSU rRNA
Rfam family: Bacterial small subunit ribosomal RNA
Source: RNAcentral
CCUACGGGAGGCAGCAGUGGGGAAUUUUGGACAAUGGGCGCAAGCCUGAUCCAGCCAUGCCGCGUGCGGGAAGAAGGCCUUCGGGUUGUAAACCGCUUUUGUCAGGGAAGAAAAGGUUCUGGAUAAUACCUGGGACUCAUGACGGUACCUGAAGAAUAAGCACCGGCUAACUACGUGCCAGCAGCCGCGGUAAUACGUAGGGUGCAAGCGUUAAUCGGAAUUACUGGGCGUAAAGCGUGCGCAGGCGGUUAUGCAAGACAGAGGUGAAAUCCCCGGGCUCAACCUGGGAACUGCCUUUGUGACUGCAUAGCUAGAGUACGGUAGAGGGGGAUGGAAUUCCGCGUGUAGCAGUGAAAUGCGUAGAUAUGCGGAGGAACACCGAUGGCGAAGGCAAUCCCCUGGACCUGUACUGACGCUCAUGCACGAAAGCGUGGGGAGCAAACAGGAUUAGAUACCCUGGUAGUCCACGCCCUAAACGAUGUCAACUGGUUNUUGGGAGGGUUUCUUCUCAGUAACGAAGCUAACGCGUGAAGUUGACCGCCUGGGGAUACGGCCGCAAGGUUGAAACUCAAAGGAUUGACGG